AGGUAAGCUACUAAGAGCGAAUGGUGGAUGCCUUGACUGGUAAAGGCGAUGAAGGACGUACUAGACUGCGAUAAGCUACGGGGAGCUGUCAAGAAGCUUUGAUCCGUAGAUUUCCGAAUGGGGCAACCCAAUGUAUAGAGAUAUACAUUACCUAUAUAGGAGCGAACGAGGGGAAUUGAAACAUCUUAGUACCCUCAGGAAAAGAAAUCAAUAGAGAUUGCGUCAGUAGCGGCGAGCGAAAGCGCAAGAGGGCAAACCCAGUGCUUGCACUGGGGGUUGUAGGACUGCAAUGUGCAAGAGGUGAGUUUAGCAGAACAUUCUGGAAAGUAUAGCCAUAGAGGGUGAUAGUCCCGUAUGCGAAAAACAAACCUUAGCUAGCAGUAUCCUGAGUAGGGCGGGACACGAGAAAUCCUGUCUGAAGCUGGGUCGACCACGAUCCAACCCUAAAUACUAAUACCAGAUCGAUAGUGCACAAGUACCGUGAGGGAAAGGUGAAAAGAACUGAGGUGAUCAGAGUGAAAUAGAACCUGAAACCAUUUGCUUACAAUCAUUCAGAGCCCUAUGUAGCAAUACAGGGUGAUGGACUGCCUUUUGCAUAAUGAGCCUGCGAGUUGUGGUGUCUGGCAAGGUUAAGCAAACGCGAAGCCGUAGCGAAAGCGAGUCUGAAUAGGGCGCUUAGUCAGAUGCUGCAGACCCGAAACGAAGUGAUCUAUCCAUGAGCAAGUUGAAGCUAGUGUAAGAACUAGUGGAGGACUGAACCCAUAGGCGUUGAAAAGCCCCGGGAUGACUUGUGGAUAGGGGUGAAAGGCCAAUCAAACUUCGUGAUAGCUGGUUCUCUCCGAAAUAUAUUUAGGUAUAGCGUUGUGUCGUAAUAUAAGGGGGUAGAGCACUGAAUGGGCUAGGGCAUACACCAAUGUACCAAACCCUAUCAAACUCCGAAUACCUUAUAUGUAAUCACAGCAGUCAGGCGGCGAGUGAUAAAAUCCGUCGUCAAGAGGGAAACAACCCAGACUACCAGCUAAGGUCCCUAAAUCUUACUUAAGUGGAAAACGAUGUGAAGUUACUUAAACAACCAGGAGGUUGGCUUAGAAGCAGCCAUCCUUUAAAGAAAGCGUAAUAGCUCACUGGUCUAGUGAUUUUGCGCGGAAAAUAUAACGGGGCUAAAGUAAGUACCGAAGCUGUAGACUUGCGCACAACUUAGAUUAUUUAAGUUUAGAAUAUGAGAAACUAAGUUAUAUGUUUAGUUAUAUUUUUACUGAUUUUUAUAGAGUAAAGAUAGAAAUAAAACUUAGUAAAAUCAGUAAAAAUAUUCUUAGACUAAAGUUAAGUAGUUUAAGUUGUGUGCAAGUGGUAGGAGAGCGUUCUAUUUGCGUCGAAGGUAUACCGGUAAGGAGUGCUGGAGCGAAUAGAAGUGAGCAUGCAGGCAUGAGUAGCGAUAAUUAAUGUGAGAAUCAUUAACGCCGUAAACCCAAGGUUUCCUACGCGAUGCUCGUCAUCGUAGGGUUAGUCGGGUCCUAAGUCGAGUCCGAAAGGGGUAGACGAUGGCAAAUUGGUUAAUAUUCCAAUACCAACAUUAGUGUGCGAUGGAAGGACGCUUAGGGCUAAGGGGGCUAGCGGAUGGAAGUGCUAGUCUAAGGUCAUAGGAGGUUAUACAGGCAAAUCCGUAUAACAAUACUCCGAGAACUGAAAGGCUUUUUGAAGUCUUCGGAUGGAUAGAAGAACCCCUGAUGCCGUCGAGCCAAGAAAAGUUUCUAAGUUUAGCUAAUGUUGCCCGUACCGUAAACCGACACAGGUGGGUGGGAUGAGUAUUCUAAGGCGCGUGGAAGAACUCUCUUUAAGGAACUCUGCAAAAUAGCACCGUAUCUUCGGUAUAAGGUGUGGUUCGCUUCGUAUUAGGAUUUACUCCGAAAGCGAAGAAACUUACAACAAAGAGUCCCUCCCGACUGUUUACCAAAAACACAGCACUCUGCUAACUCGUAAGAGGAUGUAUAGGGUGUGACGCCUGCCCGGUGCUCGAAGGUUAAUUGAUGGGGUUAGCAUUAGCGAAGCUCUUGAUCGAAGCCCGAGUAAACGGCGGCCGUAACUAUAACGGUCCUAAGGUAGCGAAAUUCCUUGUCGGUUAAAUACCGACCUGCAUGAAUGGCGUAACGAGAUGGGAGCUGUCUCAAAGAGGGAUCCAGUGAAAUUGUAGUGGAGGUGAAAAUUCCUCCUACCCGCGGCAAGACGGAAAGACCCCGUGGACCUU
This 2245-nucleotide ribosomal RNA is filed under the name Campylobacter coli. RNAcentral's name for it is "partial 23S ribosomal RNA". It matches the Rfam family "Bacterial large subunit ribosomal RNA", at positions 1 to 2101 of the family's 2925-position model. Lineage: Bacteria; Pseudomonadati; Campylobacterota; Epsilonproteobacteria; Campylobacterales; Campylobacteraceae. The record is from RNAcentral.